Molecule: ribosomal RNA, 366 nt
Filed under: Chorebus elegans
Lineage: Eukaryota; Metazoa; Arthropoda; Insecta; Hymenoptera; Braconidae
Description: partial large subunit ribosomal RNA
Source: RNAcentral
GGCUGCAGAAAUUUUAACUGUACAAAGGUAGCAUAAUAAUUUGUUUUUUAAUUAAAAACUAGAAUGAAUGAUUAAAUGAAAUAUAAACUGUUUCAAUUAAAAUAAUAUUAAAAUUUUUAUUUAAGUUAAAAAACUUAAAUAUAUUUAAAAGACGACAAGACCCUAUAGAAUUUUAUUUAUAUAUUAAAUAAAAAUAUUUAUUUAUUUAUUAAAUUUAUUAUAAUAAAUUUAAUUGGGGUAAUUUUAAAAUUAAAAAAAUUUUUUUUAUAUAAAACAUUAAUUAAUGAAUAAUAUAUCUUAAAUUUUAAAUUAUUAAAAUUAAUUACCUUAGGGAUAACAGCAUAAUUUUUUUUAAAAGAUCUUAUU